This is a long non-coding RNA of Salvia miltiorrhiza (redroot sage), 2928 nucleotides long. RefSeq lists it as uncharacterized. NCBI's taxonomy places the organism in Eukaryota, Viridiplantae, Streptophyta, Magnoliopsida, Lamiales, Lamiaceae. The record is from RefSeq and is a predicted model, not a curated record. The transcript is spliced from 3 exons.
CUAUCACGAUAAGCAUAAUAUGAUUAGAAUGAGUUCGUUUGUCACUAGUUCUCGAGACUAUAGACAUGGUGUUCUCACGAUUAGAAAGAUGCGAUAACAAUCAAGCUAUGUAGCCACACUGAUAAUGAAAGUCUAGUAUCCCAAACUAGAAUACCAAAUAUGCAAUUCCGAGGACGGAAUUUUUAUAAGGACGGAGGAAUGUAACACCCCUUUUCCUCGUAGCUACAUUUAGAGUAUUUUUGAACUUAGAUUUAAGAAGAUUCACGCCGGAUUGAGAAAAAGAAUUUAUUUUAAUUCCAACAAAUGAUUUGCAAAAUCCUUUUUGUAAAUGUUAGUCAUUUAAAUUCUUAUGCAUUUCAUAUUUAUUUAAAUUGUAUAUUAAACAUUUAGCAUCUACACGAGCUAUUUAUUUAAGCAAACACUGAUCGAUUAUUACAGUUUUCAUAGUACAACCCGAAAGUUUUUUUUUUAUUUUAUUUUAUUACUCCCACCUACUCCCACACCCACCUACUCCCACCUACUCCCACAGCCACCUACUCCUACACAACCAUACUGUUAGUACAAUUAUAGUGAACACCUACCAACUCCAUGUUUCCAUCCCAUCCAAGUUUUGCCCACCUAUAUUCAUCUCCUCACAAUACAACAAACACAUACACAAUAACACAUCUUGACAACUUCCUCAAUGCUCAAUCGAUGCUGCCAUCUAAAAGAUACACCAACUCAAAGCCCUUCCUCAAACUAGUAGAACACUCGGGCAUAACAUCAAGAAAAAGCUCAGCCUUUCCUAUCAAGGCUUUGUGACCAGGGGGAUUAGCGCUGCUUUCCCAAGACAGGUUAUGUGAUUAUGAUCUUCAGGCUUUGCCUAAUCAGGUUGAGCUGAUGUGAUGAUAGUGCUGCAAUGAGCAGAGUCUCCAGGGUUGUUAAUAAAUAGUUAACCUGUCUAGAAUAUGUCUUCAUACAUAUGUCUAGCUACAUUCCGCUGCAAGAUGUUGUUGAUGUUAUAGUAUGUUAUGUCAUACUUUGAGUCUUAAGAGAAUGGUUUCAUAUGAUGUAUAACUUAAUUAAUGAUAUUAAUUAAGUUUUAUGCUGUCUUUCAUAGACUGUUUAAAAGAGUAUUAAUGAGUAAAUACGACGAGUUUUCUUAGGUUGAGUAAGAUUUACGGUUCCAAAUGAUGCCCCUUUCUUCCCCUUAUUCUUUAAUCCCAUCCCUAGUCGUAGAUCACUCGGCUUAACUAUCCUUAGUUAAGGCGGGCUGUGACAGAGUGGUAUCAGAGCGAAGGAAAGCUCUGAAUUAGAAGUCUUGAGUUUAGUCUAGAAUGAGUCACUAGACUAAUAGUUAUUAACAACCGUGAGCUCAGCGCACCAUCACACCAGGCUCAACGAGGUAUGUAAAAUUUCAAAGUUUAUUUGACGUUAAAUUUUGAAGAGCAUGAUGUUGAAGUUAUAUGAUGAGUUAUGAUGUUACACUUUGAAGGUGCAUAGUUUGAGUUUGAGGAUGACAACAUGAUUAAUAAUGAGUUAUUAUGUUGUAAGAGCAUAUGUUGACGUUACAUGAUGAAUUAUGAGAGCGUUUAUAUCAUAUGAUGUUAUAUGAUUGAGGAUGCAUAAUUAUGAGUUAUGAUGUGAUGUAUUUGAGAUGUUUUGUGAUGAGAAUUGUUUGAACAGUUGUGAUAAGUCACGAUGAUUUAGAUGAAGGAACUAAUGUCAUUGUUAAGAGAGAUUUUCUACUAAGUAGAAGGAUGAAAUGAGAACUUAGAGCUAAAGUUUGAGAGAAUUAGCAAUUGCUUUAAGUACUUGUUUGUAUGAGUUAUGAGUUUGAGUUAUGAGCUUGAGUAUGAUAGCAUGAUUAAUGAUGAGUUAUUAACAUGCUGCAAUGAGAUAUUGUACGAUAUGUUUGAGAUGUUUUAUGACGCGAGUUUUGCUCACGCAACCUUAAUGGUACUUGAGGAGGUAUCAUGAGCCAUAGUCUUUGGAGAUGGCUUUGAGAGAGAAUUGUUGAGUUGUCUUACUGAGUCACGAUGAUUUAGAUUAAGAGAUCUAAUAUCAUUGUUUAGAGAGAUUCCCUACUGAGUAAAGAUGGGAAGAGAUGAGAAUUUAGAUGUUUUGAGCUUGAGUUUUAAGAUAACAGUACUACUUAGUAGGAGUUUUGCUAAGUUAUGUUUUGUUUAUUUCUGUUGCUGGAGCCAAGUAGAGUUAGUUCCUAGAGGCACCUUUAAGUUCUCCUUAUAGGUUGGCCAGGACUGUUGGCACUGCACGAAAGUGGACUGUUGUGAGAUCGAACUCAGGGAAGAUCGGAUACGAGGACGAGGCGUACAGUAUGUGGUACAGAGAUACCCUAGCAGAUUUUCAAACACAUGUUCAUAGACUAUGAAAGGAUGAAAGCCUUAUGGUUGUUACUGGACUGGAUGGCAUCGUGCACCUAGUCCCCGUGCUACCAGAUUACAGAUGCCCAGAUUUAUUACAGAUGCCCAGAUUUUCUAUGCGGAUCUACUGACCGGAUGCCUGUUUUCUACCAGGGACUCUAGAAGAGUGUAGUAGAUAUCGAGUCGAUCCUUGAGUAUCAGUUACCAAAGAUGAUAAAUGAUAAACGAUAAUGAGGAUGAGAAGUAGCCGAGGAGGGCUAGAGUUGAUGAGGAUGAGAAGAGAAGUCGAUGUAGACUAGAGCUAAGGAUGAUCUUGAGAGUAUGAGCGGUACACCCUCGUUUUUGAUUAGUUUCAAUUACAUUGCGAUGUAUAUAACUUACUUAGGAGAUACUGGUACUUGAGCUUUUGACAUGCUGAUAGAUAAGCAUACGAAUAAAGUACCCUACUGAUGUUAAAUAGAUGGAUGUUCCUAGUGUGCUAAAGUAGCAACUAGAUGAGUUAACUGGUAGCAAUUACCGUAGGAGGUCCCGACCGAGACAUAGUACUAUUAAUGGUGUCGGUUUA